This 2660-nucleotide ribosomal RNA is filed under the name Salmonella enterica subsp. enterica. RNAcentral's name for it is "partial 23S ribosomal RNA". It matches the Rfam family "Bacterial large subunit ribosomal RNA", at positions 373 to 2925 of the family's 2925-position model. Lineage: Bacteria; Pseudomonadati; Pseudomonadota; Gammaproteobacteria; Enterobacterales; Enterobacteriaceae. The record is from RNAcentral.
CCGUACACAAAAGCGCAUGUGCUGUGAGCUCGAUGAGUAGGGCGGGACACGUGGUAUCCUGUCUGAAUAUGGGGGGACCAUCCUCCAAGGCUAAAUACUCCUGACUGACCGAUAGUGAACCAGUACCGUGAGGGAAAGGCGAAAAGAACCCCGGCGAGGGGAGUGAAAAAGAACCUGAAACCGUGUACGUACAAGCAGUGGGAGCACAGGUUUACCUGUGUGACUGCGUACCUUUUGUAUAAUGGGUCAGCGACUUAUAUUCUGUAGCAAGGUUAACCGUAUAGGGGAGCCGGAGGGAAACCGAGUCUUAAUUGGGCGUUAAGUUGCAGGGUAUAGACCCGAAACCCGGUGAUCUAGCCAUGGGCAGGUUGAAGGUUGGGUAACACUAACUGGAGGACCGAACCGACUAAUGUUGAAAAAUUAGCGGAUGACCUGUGGCUGGGGGUGAAAGGCCAAUCAAACCGGGAGAUAGCUGGUUCUCCCCGAAAGCUAUUUAGGUAGCGCCUCGUGAAUUCAUCUCCGGGGGUAGAGCACUGUUUCGGCUAGGGGGCCAUCCCGGCUUACCAACCCGAUGCAAACUGCGAAUACCGGAGAAUGUUAUCACGGGAGACACACGGCGGGUGCUAACGUCCGUCGUGAAGAGGGAAACAACCCAGACCGCCAGCUAAGGUCCCAAAGUCAUGGUUAAGUGGGAAACGAUGUGGGAAGGCCCAGACAGCCAGGAUGUUGGCUUAGAAGCAGCCAUCAUUUAAAGAAAGCGUAAUAGCUCACUGGUCGAGUCGGCCUGCGCGGAAGAUGUAACGGGGCUAAACCAUGCACCGAAGCUGCGGCAGCGAACGUAUCACCCAAGACAACUUUACGGAGUUGACGAUUGACGGAGCGAAGCGACGUCAAAGCGUUCAUUAAAGUCGAGUUGGCUUAGGGAUACGUUCGUUGGGUAGGGGAGCGUUCUGUAAGCCUGUGAAGGUGUGUCGUGAGGCAUGCUGGAGGUAUCAGAAGUGCGAAUGCUGACAUAAGUAACGAUAAAGCGGGUGAAAAGCCCGCUCGCCGGAAGACCAAGGGUUCCUGUCCAACGUUAAUCGGGGCAGGGUGAGUCGACCCCUAAGGCGAGGCCGAAAGGCGUAGUCGAUGGGAAACGGGUUAAUAUUCCCGUACUUGGUGUUACUGCGAAGGGGGGACGGAGAAGGCUAUGUUGGCCGGGCGACGGUUGUCCCGGUUUAAGCGUGUAGGUGUGUGUUCCAGGUAAAUCCGGUUCACUUUAACACUGAGGCGUGACGACGAGGCACUACGGUGCUGAAGCAACAAAUGCCCUGCUUCCAGGAAAAGCCUCUAAGCAUCAGGUAACACGAAAUCGUACCCCAAACCGACACAGGUGGUCAGGUAGAGAAUACCAAGGCGCUUGAGAGAACUCGGGUGAAGGAACUAGGCAAAAUGGUGCCGUAACUUCGGGAGAAGGCACGCUGACACGUAGGUGAAGUGAUUUACUCAUGGAGCUGAAGUCAGUCGAAGAUACCAGCUGGCUGCAACUGUUUAUUAAAAACACAGCACUGUGCAAACACGAAAGUGGACGUAUACGGUGUGACGCCUGCCCGGUGCCGGAAGGUUAAUUGAUGGGGUCAGCGCAAGCGAAGCUCCUGAUCGAAGCCCCGGUAAACGGCGGCCGUAACUAUAACGGUCCUAAGGUAGCGAAAUUCCUUGUCGGGUAAGUUCCGACCUGCACGAAUGGCGUAAUGAUGGCCAGGCUGUCUCCACCCGAGACUCAGUGAAAUUGAACUCGCUGUGAAGAUGCAGUGUACCCGCGGCAAGACGGAAAGACCCCGUGAACCUUUACUAUAGCUUGACACUGAACAUUGAGCCUUGAUGUGUAGGAUAGGUGGGAGGCUUUGAAGUGUGGACGCCAGUCUGCAUGGAGCCGACCUUGAAAUACCACCCUUUAAUGUUUGAUGUUCUAACGUGGACCCGUAAUCCGGGUUGCGGACAGUGUCUGGUGGGUAGUUUGACUGGGGCGGUCUCCUCCUAAAGAGUAACGGAGGAGCACGAAGGUUGGCUAAUCCUGGUCGGACAUCAGGAGGUUAGUGCAAUGGCAUAAGCCAGCUUGACUGCGAGCGUGACGGCGCGAGCAGGUGCGAAAGCAGGUCAUAGUGAUCCGGUGGUUCUGAAUGGAAGGGCCAUCGCUCAACGGAUAAAAGGUACUCCGGGGAUAACAGGCUGAUACCGCCCAAGAGUUCAUAUCGACGGCGGUGUUUGGCACCUCGAUGUCGGCUCAUCACAUCCUGGGGCUGAAGUAGGUCCCAAGGGUAUGGCUGUUCGCCAUUUAAAGUGGUACGCGAGCUGGGUUUAGAACGUCGUGAGACAGUUCGGUCCCUAUCUGCCGUGGGCGCUGGAGAACUGAGGGGGGCUGCUCCUAGUACGAGAGGACCGGAGUGGACGCAUCACUGGUGUUCGGGUUGUCAUGCCAAUGGCACUGCCCGGUAGCUAAAUGCGGAAGAGAUAAGUGCUGAAAGCAUCUAAGCACGAAACUUGCCCCGAGAUGAGUUCUCCCUGAGACUUAGAGUCUCCUGAAGGAACGUUGAAGACGACGACGUUGAUAGGCCGGGUGUGUAAGCGCAGCGAUGCGUUGAGCUAACCGGUACUAAUGAACCGUGAGGCUUAACCUUACA